GGCUCGGUAGCGUUUGGUACGCAUCUGCUUUUACUUCAAGGAGAACUGCGUUAUAGCAGAGUCCAUCCCGUUCGAUUCGGGGCUGAGCCA
Molecule: non-coding RNA, 90 nt
Organism: Mycena vulgaris
Lineage: Eukaryota; Fungi; Basidiomycota; Agaricomycetes; Agaricales; Mycenaceae
Source: the annotation of a GenBank genome assembly